GUUUUAAAAUUUGCUAUGGACCAAAUACUUCUGAAAAAAAAGAAGUCGGGUAUUUUGUUUGGCUUAGACUCAUAAAAAAUGAAGAACUGGUGUUUCUAUCCAGUGAAUGUAAGCCAACUAUCAAGAAAGGACGGGAAUUCGAACUAGAACAUGUUCAUAAAACAUACGAUAAAAUUGCUAAUCAUUUUUCUCAUACAAGACACACUCCUUGGCCGAAAAUUGCAAAUAUUUUAAGAAACUUAACUUUUGGACAAAUUAUCUUAGACGUGGGUUGUGGAAAUGGAAGAUAUGCAGCGUGUUUACCAAAGAAUUCAGUUUAUAUUGGAUUA
Long non-coding RNA from Danaus plexippus (monarch butterfly), 329 nucleotides. RefSeq lists it as uncharacterized. The transcript is spliced from 3 exons. The record is from RefSeq and is a predicted model, not a curated record. Lineage: Eukaryota; Metazoa; Arthropoda; Insecta; Lepidoptera; Nymphalidae.